UUGAUCUCAAAUCAGGUAGGACUACCCGCUGAACUUAAGCAUAUCAUAAAGCCGGAGGAAAGAU
RNAcentral lists this ribosomal RNA (64 nucleotides) under uncultured Tomentella. RNAcentral's name for it is "partial 28S ribosomal RNA". The record is from RNAcentral. Lineage: Eukaryota; Fungi; Basidiomycota; Agaricomycetes; Thelephorales; Thelephoraceae.